RNAcentral lists this ribosomal RNA (497 nucleotides) under uncultured bacterium. RNAcentral describes it as "partial 16S ribosomal RNA". It matches the Rfam family "Bacterial small subunit ribosomal RNA", at positions 28 to 507 of the family's 1533-position model. The record is from RNAcentral.
GAUGAACGCUGGCGGCGUGCCUAAUACAUGCAAGUCGAGCGAACAGACGAGGAGCUUGCUCCUCUGACGUUAGCGGCGGACGGGUGAGUAACACGUGGAUAACCUACCUAUAAGACUGGGAUAACUUCGGGAAACCGGAGCUAAUACCGGAUAAUAUAUUGAAUCGCAUGGUUCAAUAGUGAAAGACGGUUUUGCUGUCACUUAUAGAUGGAUCCGCGCCGCAUUAGCUAGUUGGUAAGGUAACGGCUUACCAAGGCGACGAUGCGUAGACGACCUGAGAGGGUGAUCGGCCACACGGGAACUGAGACGCGGUCCAGACUCCUACGGGAGGCAGCAGUAGGGAAUCUUCCGCAAUAGGCGAAAGCCUGACGGAGCAACGCCGCGUGAGUGAUGAAGGUCUUCGGAUCGUAAAACUCUGUUAUUAGGGAAGAACAAAUUUGUAAGUAACUAUGCACGUCUUGACGGUACCUAAUCAGAAAGCCACGGCUAACUACGUG